GUAGACAAACUCAUCCUUCUCUGUUAGUUGAAUUGCCCCAUUCAGGAUCACAAUCUUUCCAUGCGCGGGUGACUGAAAUACAAAAAGAUCCUGGUAUUCUGACUUGCCAUGAAAGAGGACCUUUUCCACCUUGAACAAAUGUGCCUCUCCUGGCCAUCCAUAGGGAACAUCAGCAUACCAUCCUGGAAUGUUAAGAGAAACACCAUUACAAUUACUGGGUUUAUGGUUCUCCAUUUCAAUAGUAUAUGGUGAACAAAAGAGAUGAGUAGCCUGAUCAAUCUCUUCUACAUGUAUUGUGUUAGAUUCAGCAGAAGCAAAACCAUUCUCUGCGGCCAUUGAUUUUCUCCUUGAUUCGCU
Molecule: unclassified non-coding RNA, 357 nt
Filed under: Hevea brasiliensis (rubber tree)
Lineage: Eukaryota; Viridiplantae; Streptophyta; Magnoliopsida; Malpighiales; Euphorbiaceae
Source: RNAcentral